Molecule: long non-coding RNA, 2648 nt
Filed under: Helianthus annuus (common sunflower)
Lineage: Eukaryota; Viridiplantae; Streptophyta; Magnoliopsida; Asterales; Asteraceae
Source: RNAcentral
UUCAUCAGACCUUCUCUCUCUCCUUCUCUCUCUCAGGCGACUCAAGAACAUCAACCACCUUCUCUUUCGGGCGACUCAGAAUCAGAGUCAGAAGCUUAAAUGGGCUCAAGGGAAAGCGGGUGAGAAUCGGGUACAUGUUUUGGAGGAGCACUGGUGAGUUUUCGUGGGGAUUUAUGAUGGGUUUAACGGUCCGGAUUCACCGGAUUAUCUGUUGUCGAAUUUGUAUCCUGCUGUCGGUCUUCUUCAUUUGAGUUCUCCCAUGGAGAAAUCUGAUGAACUUCUCCUGCGAGUUCUAAAGUCGUUGCCAUUAGGUUUCUACUCAGAGACAUCUCGGAUUGACACGGUUGAUUAGUGGUUGAGACUAAAAGGUACAUACUUUGUUAAGCCAUUAAGGUGUUGGUUUCGAUUUGGGUAAAUAACUGGAUCUGGAUUUUCCUUCUUUUUUUUCCUUCUUGGUGUCGAUUCGAGCUUCACAGGUUUCAAUUACAACGCUUAAUUAGGGUUUUUUUUUUUAUCUUUAUUAGGGUUUAGAAGGUUUGUGUUGUUUCAGUUUAUAGUUUUUCUUUGUGGAGGGUUUUGAAUUUUGAAACUUAUGUCUGUAUUUUUCCAUGUUAGUUUAAUUCCUGAGUUCAGGGGUCCUUAUCAUAAAGCCCAUGAAAAGUCUCUACCAAGGUAUUAUUUAAUUUAAGCUGGUGGAGUUUUGAUUUAUGUGAAAUAUGGUUUGGUUUUACUGAUUUUAAGUAGCUAAAAUGUUAGUUAGAUUAUUCGAUUAUCGUGGUUAGUUAACAAAAAGGAAGAUGAUACUUUCAGAUUCCAAUUAAAAAUGCUUCAAAAAUGUUGUUGGCUUUGUUAUUUUAAACUUACGUGAUAGAUUUUGUGGUACAAACAUAGACAUUAAGCAUCAUUAGUGUACCAUCUCAAACAACAUUUGGUACUGGGUACCAGUGUCGAAUCGGUGCCUCUAGGGAUUACAUUGUUGCCCCUGUGGAGUACUUAUCCGACACACUUCACUUAACUGGCCUAAUAAUGCUAUUGGGCAGGCUCAAACUGAAAGGAAGAAUUAUACAAAAUAGAAUUAGGAACUAUGGAGAUUCCGUUCAAUAAUAUGUGGGGCACGCACCCUACCUGACCCAAUUCGGCUACAUAAAAGUAUGUGUGUUUGAUAUGAGUGCAUUUUGACUGACCUGUUACCUGACCCACGCGUCCUACCCAUUUGGUCAUCUCUAUGUAGCAUAUAAAUGGGUCAAAUAGUUCGAGUAAAAUCUUUAGCAAAAGUAGAAACGGUUCAAACGGCUUGAAGGUCACCCUUAAAACUUAAGUGUUCCAUUCAAGGAUGUAGAUUAUGGUAACAAUAGAUUCACAAGGCAUAUUAGAAAUACUCCAACCUUUGACAUUUAAAAAAUUAUAAUUAUCUUCUUGGAUUAGUAUAAUUUGUUUGUUGCUGAGACUUAAUUCUUUUGCAGUGUAAUCUUAUUUCCCAAAGCCAUCACAUUUUAUGUAACUUGGCUGCUGGUUUGCGAGAGAAGCUGGAUUUUUUUGGGUCUGUAUUACUUGGUCAAAUGGGACUGAUGAUGCUUUUGCUGAUUUGCUUCAAACCCUAGCUGAUAUGGAUCUGACUUUUACAGUCCUUAAGUGGAGAGUAGCAGAGGUUUGCCAAAGAUUAGAACAGGACCUUGAAAUACUCGGGGUUGCUGCAAUUGAGGACCGUUUACAGGGAUCAACAUGUGUUUUCACAGAAGCUAUACUACGCAACUAUGGCUUUCACACUGGCCUCUUCACAUCUCGACACCUCAUUGACGUUUGAGAAAGAUUUCGAUUGAACAGAGAGGACAUAUGCAUAUGAAUAACUGAUGGUUUCUUUGCAUCAUAUAUUAUUGGUGUUGUGGUAACAACACACAUGGUGAUUGGCGGCUUUACAUUCACUAUAGGCUGGUACUCAUUGAGAGUUUGAGACCACGAAUCCAUCUAUUGCUUAAUGAAUAAGGGAUAAUCUUGACAGGUUAUAAAGCUGGAGCUUCAUACACGGAUGAAUGGGUCUAACGGUUCAAACGGGUCAGAUGUGUUGUAGCACUGGGCCAUUCAGUCACGUUUAUUUUCUGUUUUAUUGGGUCUAACGGUUCAAACGGGUCAGAUGGGUUUUGUGAAGCUGUCCAAUGCGGUGAGGUUAAAGGCCCACUUUAAAUACAUCGGCCCUUGUGAAAAACACCUGUUAAAGGCCCUCAAGAGGGCUAUUGGUCUGCUGGAAAGGCACCUGAGAAAGCCCUUUGAUUAGCUUGGGCAGUUUACAUGUUGAUCCGGUUUGCUGUGAAGGCCCAUUCAGGGUUCAAAAAUCGGAAUGUUCAAACCUUUUGGGUGGUGUGGAUGAUCGCGGGGCCGGAAAGCAGGUACUCUGCUCGGAAAGUGAAGAUCAUUAUGUUUGGGCUGCAUUUUAGUUUUAUCCGGCUUGUGAAAUAUAGUUUUGUAAACUUGCUAAAUACUAGGUUUUUGUACAUGCCUAGACUUGGUUGCAUGGUUUUUAUUAUUUUUGGUCUCCCGAAGCAUGUUUUGGGAGACGAUACGGGGGAAUGCCCCUUUGGAUGAUGUAUUUUUUUGUUGUUUUGUGGUUAUACAUUUGCCGGGCUUUGCCCUUUAUCCAAAAAAAAAAAAAA